RNAcentral lists this ribosomal RNA (666 nucleotides) under uncultured bacterium. Its description in RNAcentral is "bacterial SSU rRNA". It matches the Rfam family "Bacterial small subunit ribosomal RNA", at positions 10 to 684 of the family's 1533-position model. The record is from RNAcentral.
AGUUUGAUCCUGGCUCAGGAUGAACGCUAGCGGCAGGCCUAAUACAUGCAAGUCGAACGGUGAUAGCAAUAUCAUAGUGGCGCACGGGUGCGUAACACGUAUGCAACCUACCUAUUAUUGGGGGAUAGCCUUUGGAAACGGAGAUUAAUACCGCAUAAUACGAUUGACUGGCAUCGGUUGAUUGUUAAAGCUUUGGCGAUAAUAGAUGGGCAUGCGUCCAAUUAGUUAGUUGGUUAGGUAACGGCUGACCAAGACGAUGAUUGGUAGGGGAUCUGAGAGGAUAAUCCCCCACACUGGCACUGAGAUACGGGCCAGACUCCUACGGGAGGCAGCAGUAGGGAAUAUUGGGCAAUGGGCGGAAGCCUGACCCAGCCAUGCCGCGUGCAGGAAGAAGGCGUUAUGCGUUGUAAACUGCUUUUUUAUAGGAAGAAGGAUCCCUUGCGAGGGAAGGUGACGGUACUAUAAGAAUAAGCACCGGCUAACUCCGUGCCAGCAGCCGCGGUAAUACGGAGGGUGCAAGCGUUGUCCGGAUUUAUUGGGUUUAAAGGGUGCGUAGGCGGUUUAUUAAGUCAGUGGUGAAAGACGGUCGCUCAACGAUUGCAGUGCCAUUGAUACUGGUAGACUUGAGUGAGAUUGAGGUAGCUGGAAUGGAUAGUGUAGCGGUGA